CACCUGUUGCCAAAAUGUCACGGUGCUUUGAUUUGUUACUUAUUGAUGAUGAACUGAGUCAUUGUUGGAUUGAAUCACGACCACGGUAUUCACGAGUAUCCUAGAGUAGGUUAUGUAUUAAUGCUGAUUAUUUGAAGAUAAAUCCAUGGUUUGAAGUGACAGCGACGCUCUGCAGCGACUCAGUGCUGAGAUAAAUCAUUGUAGAAUUGAUUUGCGGAAUUAGAUUUACACCAGCUGGUUUUAGCCCAUUGUCAAGUAGACUGAACCUGUGCAAGCACUGACACUCCAACAGCUGAUAAGGAGUGUAAAUUUCAAUUAAACACAAUUUAAGUUUUAGAUGAGUUCGUCAGAGUAUUUAAUUCAUUUCACCACAUGGGAUCUUUAAAUUUAAUACUGUCACAUUAAUAAAUAACAUCAGCCUCUCUGUUUGCUCCUCUCGAGGGCUGAAGCAUUUGUCAAACUGCAUUUGAUAUGUGCAGUAAGAGCAGCUUUGUUAGCGAGGCCAACAGCAAAAAGGACUUGGAAAACUAAGCAAAGACAAAUUUCCAUCCAAACACAACAUGCAUGUGUUGAACAAAUCAAAUCGUGUAGAUAUAAAGAUUGAUUGUAAAAGAACAAAAACUCAUCACAAUGCAGGAAAAAUACAGUAUUUGCCUAAAAAUAUUUUGAAAACAGGAAAGUAAAUUUAAAUAAUCAUUUAGUCAGGAAUAAUGUUCUUAGCAUUACUGCAUGUGUUUGACAAAAUCAACCCAUUUGCACAUUUUAAUGGAAAAACAUGUCGGUCUCAGAGAAAUAAUUGUGUUAGGAAUUCAUCUUUUAAAUGUACCAGUUCACGUGCACUUUAACUUCUGUUCUGCCGUGAGGGAAAAAAAGUGUUCCUUCUUUUAAUUUGCAGCGUUGUCCCUUGAAUUUGUCUGAAUGUUUUAUUAAGUAACUAUAAUUCAGACCAGCAAACUGCUACAAAAGGCUCAUUAGGGACUGCAGUUGAGUCAAAUUAUUUUGGCAUUUUGUCUGAAAAACAAACGGAACAACUACCAAAUCUGUUUGAGUUUAUUUUUUUAAUCUUACAGGCUAUAAUUAGACCUUGAAAUGACACAUUCACAAUGCAGAAGAUUAAAACAAAAAACAGUCGUUUUAUGAUGCUGUAGCUUGGACUUUAAGGUAGCAUGGCUCUGUUGCUGUAAUUUCAUAAUAUCUCAAACUGACAGCAGUUUACAGCUGAUGAAUGUUACACAUCUUAGUAGACUAGCGUAUCCAUUUUUGGGGAGAGGGGAGGGGUCUUGGUUUAAGAAAAUAAACAAAAAAGAAAAAAGUCAACCUGGAAGGUGUUGACAUUUGUAGUGUACUACCGUAUCCAUUUAAACUUGAAUCUCGAGGCAAGUGCUAGGCAAUGGCCAACUCAUUACCCCCCCCCCCCCAGUCUGUUCCUGUUGGGAGGGUGGGGGGAAAUCCACCCUGAAACUGGCAUCACAUUUUUCUGUUGUCUUGGGUGUGAAUCUGAGCUGGGGAAUCAGAUGAGAAACAUUCCGUGCUCUGCUCCAUUUCCAAUGAAUUAGACUGACUUUGAAGGCUUAUUGAAUGUUCUUAAACAUUUAUACCCAAAAGAGGUUUGUUCCUAGAGGUGCUAACGGUUCCAAAGCAGAAGAUAUGUCCUUAUCUCUGACAGAGAGAGAGAGAGAGAUCCCCGAGUCCGAAAACAUCACAUAAUUAGAGUCUAGAUGGAGAUCAGUUCAUGCUCACAAGUUCAGACUGAACUCUGCAAGGUGACAGAAAUAUUACUGAACUGUUUCAGGGUGAAUUCCCUCUUGAGUCCAAACCAUUUCCAUCUCACACAAGUCGUUACGAAAUAUAUAUAAAUGUGGUUGCAGUGUAUGUGUAUAGAUUUAUAUAUAUUUGUGGUUUUUACUCGGCCUUUGUUUGACCUUGUCUGCCGGACCGGAGAGCCCAGCAGCAGAAGCCGGGUUCAUACGGUGAAACAGUCUUCACAAGCUUAUAUGUUCACCCCUGGCGUGUCGUCGAGCUCCAUGCAGACAGCAUGUCGUCAAGGGGAAUCCAGACACGCGUUUCAGCCUGCGUGGAUGGCAGUGUGAGGCCAUAGCGACCCCUGUCUGCCAUCUGCCCAUUCCUAACACUUGCCCCUUUUUUUUAUGUUAACCUACUUUUUAUGGUGAGAGACAGACAGACUUGACUGACAUCUGAAAGCAUCUUUCAGGUUAUCAUAUGGCUUGCUUAAGCCCUGUUGUAAAAUAUACAAAAAAAGUAAUAAUAAUAAUGGAUGGGGGUCUCUCACAUAUCAAAUGUGGAAAGUCUAAUUUUAUAUUUGUAUUUUCAAAUACUACUAUUGACAAAAAAAUGUCUGUGAAAGGUUUCCAUCCUCUACUGUGGUCCAGAAAUUGAUGUGUCUGUCUGGAAAAUAAAUAAAAUAAACUGAAUUGUUAUAUUA
Molecule: long non-coding RNA, 2443 nt
Organism: Thalassophryne amazonica
Lineage: Eukaryota; Metazoa; Chordata; Actinopteri; Batrachoidiformes; Batrachoididae
Exons: 2
Source: RefSeq, a predicted model, not a curated record